AUAUAUAUAUAUAUAUAUAUAUAUAUAUGUAUAUAUAUAAAGGAAGCACUACUUGUGAUUAAAGCCCUGACUCAGAACUCUGCUGUUUGAGUAGGCUCAUUUGGAAGGCCCUGCUGCUGCCCUGCCGAGCUGCACUGCUGGUGGACAGAUGGCUGGUUUCUCACUGUGCCCUCAUUUCAACUCCAUCUCUGGCUGGCUUCUUUUCUGUGUGGCCUUCCACCUGUGCUGACAAUAGAUGGAGGCAGUUCAUUAUGGAUCACCUUACAUGUAACUCUUAGAUUUAGACCUCACUGCACAUUGGAAGGUCCAAAUAGCUCUCACCUUGCAUCAGCAUCACCGGCUGACCUUGAUUCGAUAUGCGUCACCUGUUGGAGGAGCUUCAGCACAUUUUAUUGGUUGAUGCUUCCUCUCUCAUGAUAUUCCAAAUUAAAUUACCAAAGUCUAUAUUUAGGACCUAAUCUAUAAAAAGAUUACCAAGCAGCAUGAUGUGGCUGUAUGCUCAGCAUCCACAGAGCCAGGCUCGAGUCCCGGGGCCGUGGGGAGGAACUAAAUGCAUGUCUCUGAGCAAUUUGUCUGAAGUCCAAGAGCUCAAGACUAUAUUCUGUAAAAUGAGAUUAUUAAGUCAGACACCUCCUAUGGUGACUUCAAGCUGAACAAUUCAUUGGAAUGACAUUUGCGGGGGGAGUAAAUGUGCUUGGCCAACUCUUUAAUUUUAGGUGUCUAAACAUGUAAAAUAUUCCUAACUAUACUUAAGUCCAUGUUAUUUUUUUUAAAGAGAAUGUGCCUUAUCUUUAUCAUUAUUUAGGAUGUUGAGUUUAUGCCACUCAUCUAGCAUUUUUCACAAGAAGUCAGGUAAAAUAAAUAAAGAUGGCUAUGCUUUGAGGUUUCUUAAAAUAUGUUGAGAGGGAGCGGGAUAAUGAACAUGGGCCUGGGUCUUAGAGAAGAGGAGGAUGGUGUCUCCAAGACUCAGUUUCAUAUCUGUAAAUUUGGAUUAAUCGUAAUUCUCCCCACAUUAGGUUUGCACAAGGAACUAGAUAAUUCAAUAUAUCUAAAGCAUUUAGAACAGUACAUGGUUUCUAGUAUGUCCUGUGUGUUAAGCAUUAAAUAUGCGAAAGGGCCAAUGUCAUAUAAAGCAAGAUAUAUGCAUGAGGACACUGCCAAGAGUUCAUUGAUUUGAUGCUCAUGUCAACUGAAAAAUGUGUGCAUUCUCCUGAUUGUGUUUACCUAAACGUGGUAGCACUGAAACACAGCCUAAGUCAAUGUGCACAGUCGAGGAUGGGCUGUGUGGAAGGAAUAAGUAAUCUUAAAGGAUUUUCAACUGAAAUACAGCUUCAAUCUUUUAAAUUAUAUUCACUUCACUACAUGCACAUAUAAACACACACACAAAUAUAUAUGAACUGAUAUUCUAGAGUUUUAUGAAAUCAAUAUUCUCUAAAUAACUAGUCUUAAGGUUCCAGGUGUGAUGCUAAAUAAUUUUAUAAAUAUAAUAGUAUUUUACCAUAAUAAAAGAUUUUGAAAUUUUCAACAUUAAAAAAUGAAGAAAUGCACAAUGAGUUAGAUGCAAACAUAACAUACAGUGUAUAUAAUUACAUGAUGUCUCAUUUCUUUGUAAAGCUUUUCUUUUUUGUGUGUUAUUUAAAAAAUUACUUAAAAUAUAUAAGAUUUCUUAAUUAUCAGUAUUGAAAGAAAUAUAAGCAUGGGAAUAUUUUUUAAAUUACAUUCCAAAAUAAUUAUUCAAUUGAAAAUGAGGAGGGAUUUAAUUCAUUAUGUUGCAUAUUUUCU
RNAcentral lists this long non-coding RNA (1782 nucleotides) under Mus musculus (house mouse). RNAcentral's name for it is "long non-coding RNA chr13:117940539-117942321". The record is from RNAcentral. Lineage: Eukaryota; Metazoa; Chordata; Mammalia; Rodentia; Muridae.